Oncorhynchus kisutch (coho salmon) is the source of this 806-nucleotide long non-coding RNA. RefSeq lists it as uncharacterized. The transcript has 2 exons. NCBI's taxonomy places the organism in Eukaryota, Metazoa, Chordata, Actinopteri, Salmoniformes, Salmonidae. The record is from RefSeq and is a predicted model, not a curated record.
GGUCGGCUGUAUAAUGUUUGAUCAAAUCAAUGAAAACGGAAGUGAAAACGUAAAAAUAACCAUUUUGUCAGCUAAGGUUUUUAGUAGAGAAUCCAAAUAUAAUGGUUGCUGCUGAUAUUGUGCUCAGUGGAACGAUUGCUCUGAGAGCCCUGGUUGUCAUCGCGACACACAAAGAACCUCCUCCAGAUCCUCAGGUACGCUCCCUGGAUCCUGCGGAUCUUGAAGGCAUAGACAACUGGGUUGACUGCUGAAUUGGCAUGGGAAAGGAGGAUGCCCACAUAGAAAGCGGUGUGGGGUAUGUCUGACGGGCUGCCAAAAUAGGCAGCACAGUUCAUAAUGUGCAGGGGGAGCCAGCAGAAGGCGAACAGCACCAGGACCAGAGCCAGGGAUUGGGCCAGGCUCCUCUCCUUCCUGAAGUAGGUGUGGGACUGGGCCCCGUGCCCUGCUUUCUCCCUCAGGUUCCUCCAGAUGGUACAGAAGAUGUAGAUGUACAGGACAGCCAUGACAAUUAACGGGGUGAGGAUGCAGAGGAAGAAAUUGAAGUAAACAAUGUAUGACAUGGGGAUCACAGCCAGGAAAUGGCAGAGGAUUGCGGUCGAGUUCUCUGAGUGAGACAACGUUUCAUGAUUGUACCAUCCAAACAUGGGAGGGAAGCUCAAUAUAAAAGCAACAAACCAACAUGUUGCUACUACCACCCAAGAUCUUCUCUCUGUUACCGUCUUCUUGUAGCUGUUGAAGCAGAAAAAUGUUGAGAUGUUUUAAUGAAUUGCAUUGCAAAAUAAAACAAGGAAUCUGAUUCCACCCAA